Molecule: ribosomal RNA, 428 nt
Filed under: uncultured bacterium
Lineage: Bacteria
Description: bacterial SSU rRNA
Rfam family: Bacterial small subunit ribosomal RNA
Source: RNAcentral
UCGGGUGGAAGUUAGAAACUAGUGGCGGACGGGUGAGUAACGCGUGGGUAACCUGCCUCAUACAGGGGGAUAACAGUCGGAAACGAUUGCUAAAACCGCAUAAUAUAGCGAAACCGCAUGAUUUUGCUAUCAAAUAUUUAUAGGUAUGAGAUGGGCCCGCGUCUGAUUAGCUAGUUGGUGGGGUAAUAGCCUACCAAGGCGACGAUCAGUAGCCGGCUUGAGAGAGUGACCGGCCACAUUGGGACUGAGACACGGCCCAAACUCCUACGGGAGGCAGCAGUGGGGAAUAUUGGACAAUGGGGGGAAACCCUGAUCCAGCCGACGCCGCGUGAGUGAAGAAGUAUUUCGGUAUGUAAAGCUCUAUCAGCAGGGAAGAUAAUGACAGUACCUGACUAAGAAGCCCCGGCUAACUACGUGCCAGCCGCGGC